Molecule: ribosomal RNA, 572 nt
Filed under: Staphylococcus pasteuri
Lineage: Bacteria; Bacillati; Bacillota; Bacilli; Caryophanales; Staphylococcaceae
Description: bacterial SSU rRNA
Rfam family: Bacterial small subunit ribosomal RNA
Source: RNAcentral
GCGAACAGAUAAGGGAGCUUGGCUCCUUUGACGUUAGCGGCGGACGGGUGAGUAACACGUGGAUAACCUACCUAUAAGACUGGGAUAACUUCGGGAAACCGGAGCUAAUACCGGAUAAGAUUUUGAACCGCAUGGUUCAAUAGUGAAAGACGGCCUUGCUGUCACUUAUAGAUGGAUCCGCGCCGUAUUAGCUAGUUGGUAAGGUAACGGCUUACCAAGGCAACGAUACGUAGCCGACCUGAGAGGGUGAUCGGCCACACUGGAACUGAGACACGGUCCAGACUCCUACGGGAGGCAGCAGUAGGGAAUCUUCCGCAAUGGGCGAAAGCCUGACGGAGCAACGCCGCGUGAGUGAUGAAGGUCUUCGGAUCGUAAAACUCUGUUAUCAGGGAAGAACAACAACGUGUAAGUAACUGUGCACGUUCUUGACGGUACCUGGAUCAGAAAGCCACGGCUAACUACGUGCCAGCAGCCGCGGUAAUACGGUAGGUGGCAAGCGUUAUCCGGAAUUAUUGGGCGUAAAGCGCGCGUAGGGCGGUUUUUUAAGUCUGAUGUGAAAGCCCACGUGCUCA